RNAcentral lists this ribosomal RNA (559 nucleotides) under uncultured bacterium. RNAcentral's name for it is "partial 16S ribosomal RNA". It matches the Rfam family "Bacterial small subunit ribosomal RNA", at positions 355 to 906 of the family's 1533-position model. The record is from RNAcentral.
UGGGGAAUUUUGGACAAUGGGCGAAAGCCUGAUCCAGCAAUGCCGCGUGUGUGAAGAAGGCCUUCGGGUUGUAAAGCACUUUUGUCCGGAAAGAAAUCCUUGGCUCUAAUACAGUCGGGGGAUGACGGUACCGGAAGAAUAAGCACCGGCUAACUACGUGCCAGCAGCCGCGGUAAUACGUAGGGUGCAAGCGUUAAUCGGAAUUACUGGGCGUAAAGCGUGCGCAGGCGGUUUGCUAAGACCGAUGUGAAAUCCCCGGGCUCAACCUGGGAACUGCAUUGGUGACUGGCAGGCUAGAGUAUGGCAGAGGGGGGUAGAAUUCCACGUGUAGCAGUGAAAUGCGUAGAGAUGUGGAGGAAUACCGAUGGCGAAGGCAGCCCCCUGGGCCAAUACUGACGCUCAUGCACGAAAGCGUGGGGAGCAAACAGGAUUAGAUACCCUGGUAGUCCACGCCCUAAACGAUGUCAACUAGUUGUUGGGGACUUCAUUUCCUUAGUAACGUAGCUAACGCGUGAAGUUGACCGCCUGGGGAGUACGGUCGCAAGAUUAAAACUCAAAU